This is a long non-coding RNA of Lagopus leucura (white-tailed ptarmigan), 237 nucleotides long. RefSeq lists it as uncharacterized. The record is from RefSeq and is a predicted model, not a curated record. Lineage: Eukaryota; Metazoa; Chordata; Aves; Galliformes; Phasianidae. The transcript has 3 exons.
GAAAUUGGGCAGACCUGACAUAGAAAGCAGGGCUCUGGAGUGGCUCCGGUACACAAAGCAUCAUUAGGAUUAAGAUUUGUGUCUGAAGUCUGCUGAGUUCUUCCACUUCAUUAUACCAGCUGUUCUUCACCUGCCAGCAGGGUCUCACACCCACAUCUCUUCCCCAUGCCUGCCAUCCCUGGAUCCUCCUUGCUCUCAGCAGUUUGGAGUUCAAAUGCAGUAAAACUAUGGGUGCUA